This 605-nucleotide ribosomal RNA is filed under the name Hepatozoon canis. RNAcentral describes it as "SSU rRNA". It matches the Rfam family "Eukaryotic small subunit ribosomal RNA", at positions 174 to 770 of the family's 1831-position model. Lineage: Eukaryota; Apicomplexa; Hepatozoidae. The record is from RNAcentral.
AAAUCUCAACUUUAUUAGAAGAGACGCAUUUAUUAGAUAAAAAGCCAGUUCAUGCUUUUAUAGUAUGAAAAUUGGUGAUUUAUAAUAACUUAGCAAAUCGCAAAGUGAAAACAGGCGAUAAAUCAUUCAAGUUUCUGACCUAUCAGCUUUCGACGGUAUGGUAUUGGCUUACCGUGGCAGUGACGGUUAACGGGGGAUUAGGGUUCGAUUCCGGAGAGGGAGCCUGAGAAACGGCUACCACAUCUAAGGAAGGCAGCAGGCGCGCAAAUUACCCAAUUCUAACAGUUUGAGAGAGGUAGUAACAAGAAAUAACAAUACAAGGCAGUUAAAAUGCUUUGUAAUUGGAAUGAUAGAAAUUUAAACCCUUUUUAAAGUAUCAAUUGGAGGGCAAGUCUGGUGCCAGCAGCCGCGGUAAUUCCAGCUCCAAUAGCGUAUAUUAAAAUUGUUGCAGUUAAAAAGCUCGUAGUUGAAGUUCUGCUGAAAGUAACCGGUCUGCUUUUAAUAAAAGUGGUAUCUUGGUAUGUAUUUAGCAAUGAUGUCCUUUGAAGUGUUUUUUACUUUAUUGUAAUAAAGCAUAUUCAGGACUUUUACUUGAGAAAAUUAGA